Molecule: long non-coding RNA, 672 nt
Filed under: Oncorhynchus kisutch (coho salmon)
Lineage: Eukaryota; Metazoa; Chordata; Actinopteri; Salmoniformes; Salmonidae
Description: lncRNA (ENSOKIG00005033274.1)
Source: RNAcentral
AUAACACGUGCUCUCUGUUUAUUAUCAGGGAGGGAGGGAGUUGGAGGGAGGAUGAGAGGGUAGCAGAGAACCCAUAGAGUAGACAGCCUUUCUCUGUAGCACACACAGACACACAGACCAGAACAGACUGGGGGGAAGAGAGAGGGAAACAGACGCACUGCAAAAUCCAGACGCAUCAACAGCCACCCUAGCAGCUCAAACCACCACAGCAGAUGGGGCCCGGAUUGUUUUGGAACUUCUCUUCAAAGGCUAACUGCUCGGUGCCGCAGAGCCUGCUGCAGACCAUGUUGCUCUCCAGGAUGGCUGGGAUGAAGGAGCAGCAAUUUACUGAGGAGAAACCCCUACUGCAAGAACAAAGAGGACAAGACACUGAGAUGGUGAGCAUUUUCUUUAUAUGUGUGUGUGUGCGUGCGUGCGUGCGUGUGUGCGUGUGUGUGUGCGUGUGUGUGCGUGUCUGUUUGUUAGUUUUUGUUGUUGUUUUGUUGUUGAAUUUUACCCCUUUUUCUCUCCAAUUUCAUGGUAUCCAAUUGUUUUAGUAGCUACUAUCUUGUCUCAUCGCUACAACUCCCGUACGGGCUUGGGAGAAACGAAGGUUGAAAGUCAUGCGUCCUCCGAUACACAACCCAACCAAGGACCUCCCGGUUGCGGCCGGUUACGAUAGAGCCUGGGCGC